GAAGAUUCAAAGGGAAGAGCCUCACAACAAAGGACACCUCGAGGUGCCACCAUUGAAUUGCUGUGCUUAAAACCUGGUGUAUUUUGGCUACAAAAGGUCAAAUCAGCAGAGCUGAUGAAGGCAGCAGCUGAAAUUCCAGUGCAGGUCCCAGUUAACAGCACAAACGUGACUGGGAGCAGCUUCUGCACGAUUCCUUCACCCAAGGAGAGGAACUGAGAACAGCCCAGAGCACAAAGGAGGAGUGGUUUUUGUUCAGGAUGGUUUGUGCUUCUGUUCUCUUGUAGGCUGAGUCGUGCUUUGGGUUAGGGAAGAGCCAUUUCUGGUUGUGCUGAGCAGAUUUUGGAAAUAUUCUGUGUUUUCUGGGUUUUUUUGUUUGUGUUUAUAUCUCUUUAUUGUGUUUCAGCCACCAUGGUUUGUGCCUCUGCUCUCUUGUAGGCUGAAUCCUACUUUGGGUUAGGGAAGAGCUAUUUCUGGUUGUGCUGAGCAGAUUUUGGAAAUAUUCUGUGUUUUCUGUCUGUUGAUGUGUUUUUAUAUCUCUUUACUGUGUUCCAGCCACCACAGUUUCCUUUCUUGCAGUCCCAUUGUGCAGCAGCUCUUCCACAAACCCCUCGGUCUCUGCCUCCCAGUUGGUUUGUUUGAAAAUGAGAUUUCACAAUUGUCAAGUCCCAGAGGAAAUUCUUGGAAAAUAGUCUGGCAAGGAAGAAUAUCCCAACUUUCUCUGGCAAAAAUUAUUUCCCUGAGGAAGGUGGGAGUGAAAUGA
Molecule: long non-coding RNA, 760 nt
Filed under: Parus major (Great Tit)
Lineage: Eukaryota; Metazoa; Chordata; Aves; Passeriformes; Paridae
Description: lncRNA (ENSPMJG00000004982.1)
Source: RNAcentral